This 168-nucleotide small RNA is filed under the name Malus domestica (apple). Its description in RNAcentral is "sRNA MD06G0095000". It matches the Rfam family "Eukaryotic small subunit ribosomal RNA", at positions 1287 to 1472 of the family's 1831-position model. Lineage: Eukaryota; Viridiplantae; Streptophyta; Magnoliopsida; Rosales; Rosaceae. The record is from RNAcentral.
ACCGUUCUUAGUUGGUGGAGUGAUUUGUCCAGUUAAUUCCAUUAACGAAUGAGACCUCAACCUGCUAACUAGGUAUGCAUAGGUCAUCCUCCGCGACCAGCUUCUUAAAGGUAUUAUGACCGCUUAGGCCAAGAAAGUUUGAGGCAAUAACAUGCCUGUGAUGCCCAU